AUGGUCAAUCAGAUGUUCAUGUGUGUGUGUGUGUUUGUGUGUGUUUUGAUGUUCUGUCUCCACAGGCUCAGCUAUUUGCUAAAAGAGAGCAUGAAAAUGUGGUGCAGGUGCUGGAGGCAAAAGUGCGCGAGCUGGAGGACAAAUGCCGCAGUCAGAGUCAGCAGUUCGGGAUGCUGUCGCAGGAGCUGGAUAAAUUCAGACUUCAGGCCUCGAAGAUCGACCUAUCAGAGGCCGCUUUACUGUGCGGCGCCACCCUGAGUCAGCUGACCAAUGGGGUUGGCCUACCCGGAGACACCGGUACGUUAAAACUAUCAUUACACACAGAUUACACAGACGGGUUGAGAAAUAAAAGUUUGAUGUAAGGUUUAUGAUAAGCCACUGUGAGUUUGGAAGUUUAACUGACGGCUCUGUGUGAUGCAUUUGCAUGUGAAGGGGAGUCAGAUUUUCAUACCACUUUCCGUCACCUCCUCUAGCCAGUGGCUCAAAUUUUGUCAACCCGCCAAUGCCAUUUUUUAGCUGCACAAUCAAAUUCAAAACCGCCCAAUCUGGCAACACUGAAUACGAGUUUCUUUGCAUUUGCUGGAUUUAUUAGGUGUGGGUCAAAUGUUAAUAUUUGUUUAUUAAUACAUUUUAAUAAAUGUCUUUAACGUUUAUUUAUUUAUUUU
This 665-nucleotide long non-coding RNA is filed under the name Danio rerio (zebrafish). Its description in RNAcentral is "lncRNA (ENSDARG00000117274.1)". Lineage: Eukaryota; Metazoa; Chordata; Actinopteri; Cypriniformes; Danionidae. The record is from RNAcentral.